GAUGAACGCUGGCGGCGUGCCUAAUACAUGCAAGUCGAGCGAACGGACGAGAAGCUUGCUUCUCUGAUGUUAGCGGCGGACGGGUGAGUAACACGUGUAUAACCUACCUAUAAGACUGGGAUAACUUCGAGAAACCGGAGCUAAUACCGGAUGAUAUUUUGAACCGCAUGGUUCAAAAGUGAAAGACGGUCUUGCUGUCACUUAUAGAUGGAUCCGCGCUGCAUUAUCUAGUUGGUAAGGUAACGGCUUACCAAGGCAACGAUGCAUAGCCGACCUGAGAGGGUGAUCGGCCACACUGGAACUGAGACACGGUCCAGACUCCUACGGGAGGCAGCAGUAGGGAAUCUUACGCAAUGGGCGAAAGCCUGACGGAGCAACGCCGCGUGAGUGAUGAAGGUCUUCGGAUCGUAAAACUCUGUUAUUAGGGAAGAACAUAUGUGUAAGUAACUGUGCACAUCUUGACGGCACCUAAUCAGAAAGCCACGGCUAACUACGUG
This 497-nucleotide ribosomal RNA is filed under the name uncultured bacterium. Its description in RNAcentral is "partial 16S ribosomal RNA". It matches the Rfam family "Bacterial small subunit ribosomal RNA", at positions 28 to 507 of the family's 1533-position model. The record is from RNAcentral.